AUUGAACGCUGGCGGCAUGCCUUACACAUGCAAGUCGAACGGUAACGCGGGGCAACCUGGCGACGAGUGGCGAACGGGUGAGUAAUACAUCGGAACGUGCCCAGUAGUGGGGGAUAGCCCGGCGAAAGCCGGAUUAAUACCGCAUACGACCUACGGGUGAAAGCGGGGGAUCGCAAGACCUCGCGCUAUUGGAGCGGCCGAUGUCAGAUUAGGUAGUUGGUGGGGGUAAAAGCCUACCAAGCCUACGAUCUGUAGCUGGUCUGAGAGGACGACCAGCCACACUGGGACUGAGACACGGCCCAGACUCCUACGGAGGCAGCAGUGGGGAAUUUUGGACAAUGGGCGCAAGCCUGAUCCAGCCAUGCCGCGUGCGGG
This 375-nucleotide ribosomal RNA is filed under the name uncultured bacterium. RNAcentral describes it as "bacterial SSU rRNA". It matches the Rfam family "Bacterial small subunit ribosomal RNA", at positions 29 to 407 of the family's 1533-position model. The record is from RNAcentral.